This 253-nucleotide ribosomal RNA is filed under the name uncultured bacterium. Its description in RNAcentral is "partial 16S ribosomal RNA". It matches the Rfam family "Bacterial small subunit ribosomal RNA", at positions 524 to 776 of the family's 1533-position model. The record is from RNAcentral.
UACGUAGGGUCCGAGCGUUGUCCGGAAUUACUGGGCGUAAAGAGCUCGUAGGUGGUUUGUCGCGUUGUUCGUGAAAACUCACAGCUCAACUGUGGGCGUGCGGGCGAUACGGGCAGACUUGAGUACUGCAGGGGAGACUGGAAUUCCUGGUGUAGCGGUGGAAUGCGCAGAUAUCAGGAGGAACACCGGUGGCGAAGGCGACUCUUUGGCCUGUAACUGACGCUGAGGCGCGAAAGCGUGGGGAGCAAACAGG